Molecule: non-coding RNA, 2714 nt
Organism: Doryrhamphus excisus (bluestripe pipefish)
Lineage: Eukaryota; Metazoa; Chordata; Actinopteri; Syngnathiformes; Syngnathidae
Source: RefSeq, a predicted model, not a curated record
GGAUAGGCUCCAGCACCCCCGCGACCCUCGUGAGGAAAAAGCAGUAUAAAAUGAAUGAAUGAAUGAAUGAAUGAAUGAUCCUGUAGCGUUUAUGUGAUUACAGCAUUUUCCGUUUCAUUUAUGAUGUUGGCGUGCUUGUAUUUGGGAUCGUUCCUCUGUUCGGAGCGGUAAACCACACAUAUUUGAUUGAAAUAUGAAUCUGCCAUGGUCUUACGGUGCUGCAAUCAUUAUCUGCUACUACUACUACCGUGUUAUAUUAUUGACUUCUUAGAUCGAGUUAUCCUCACUCAGUGUUGAUAAAGUGCUUUCUGGAACAAACUAUUUGAGGUAUGCAGGUUUUAAAACUACUUCACAAGUAUGUAGAAGUUCCAGUAACACUGUUUGUAAUGGUUAAGUAUCAGUUGUACUUGUUCUAACCCCGGUUAUUUAUUUAUUUUUUUUUACACUGUUGAGCAUGUUCAAGCAUUAGCAUUGUAGUUUGGCAUUAUUCUAUCCAUAACCAAAAGCCUCUAUUCCACUCACAGCUUUAGAAAGUUUGUUCCUGCAAAAAUAGUGAAUCAGUAACGUACAUAUAUAUAUUCACAGUUAUGAAAUAUGACAACAACAACAAAAAAAAAUGUUCAUUUCGCCAAAAGGAGAAUUAGUUUACGGUUGCUAUAUUUUGUCUUCUACUAUCCUAACAGCAGGUCUUUGUCAAUUUUAAAGUGCCUUCAGAGUUGUGCAGAUGUUGUAAGCCAACUCAAGUCGUCGUGGUUCUAUUUACAGCAAACAGCAGCAAGGUUUGAAAUGCCCAAAGGGUUAUUCGCCCCCUUCAAAGAGGAGCUUUUUAGGUUACAUAUCUGCAACCUGAACCCCUCACUUGGUUGUAGAGUACGUUAUGAGAAGCCCAGUGGUCCAUGACUUUAAAAUCUGAAUAUGAACUCUGUGUACUAGGGAAUGGACUCAGCAUAGGAAUUAUUAUCAACCAACUCUUAUCAAAAGUAUUUAGGAUCCCCCUGUCGUUAUUUCAAAAAAAUAAUAUCCACUUAUGUUUCAAACUCUUGACUGUAGAAUGAUUGACAGUAUUCUAAUCUAACAUAUGUAGUAUGGUUAGUCGCUGCGGCUCAUCGAGCUGUGUCCGUUGGCCUCCUUGCUGGUGACUACAUGACGUCUGAUUCCACGACGCAUUGCUCUGUGUAUUCCUUCACUAGCUCCACUUUCAGAAUGUCGCGGCAAAAGUCGACCAUUGGCUUCCAGAGAGGCGGGUCCAGGAACAUCUGGCACAUCACGUGACCCUUCAGAGUGGCGGUGUGGCGCUGAAGAUGACACAGGAACUGCUGGCGGACCAGGUCCAGAUCUUUGCCGAACAUAUCGAUGUUCAGGUAAUACCUGGUGAAAAAAAACGUUAAUGGAAUACAGUCGAGAAUGAGAACGAAAAAGUGUACACACGCAUACCAAUCAUCUCCGAUCGGGACCUUGAAUGGGAAAGUGCAGAGGCUGCCCACGGUAGGCUUGGAGGCAUCAUCCACCAUCCAAUCAAUGUCCUUCUUCAUCAGGAUGGCCAUGUUACUGGGCAGAGGUUUGAAUGGCUGCCAGUCUUGGAUGAUGGUGGCGUUUGGAAGGACCCCCUGCAUCAGGUCAGUGGUCAAAUACAGACGAUUAAUGGUGCUGUUGUCUAGACGUACGGGAGGCCCAUUUGUGAAGAAGGUGGACAGCGGCGGCUGGAUAUGUCCACCAAGAUCAGACAAACGUAACUUGAGGUCUUCAGCUCGGAAACGCACCAACAGGAUGCCCUGUGGGAAGGAACGUUACGGUCGGAUCAAAGUCAAACGGACGUCAUUGAAGUAAGGAUGUACCGUACCUGCUUGGUUAUGAUGCGAUACUUCUGGAAGUCCUUGGGUCCAAGUUGGUCGUCACGAGUCAGGCGACUCACUUUCACCUCUGGAUAUUUGGAUUUGACGAGAUCGGAGCAAAAUCGCAGCAGGACUCCCGCCACGCCUUUGCCUCGUUCCUGGGGGGCCACACGGAGACCCUCGACCAACAUGGUCUCCCCGUCGUCAAUCACGCACACCGACUCCAAAGCGAUCUGUUAUGAAAGCUUUCAUUCCACCACCAUUCACUUUAAAAGCAUGUCGGAAUGCCACUGCAAUGAAGGAGAAGAGGGGUCGGAUGAUGCUGAAGUGCCAGAAUCGACGGUGAGGGGGGGAACACGGGACAGCUGCAAAUAUCGAGAACUGAAAAUUCCCAACAAAGCAAAAAGAAGUUUGGGAAGAAGGUGAUGGAUUGCUGUCCUCUCACCGAAGAAGAAAUGGAAGAUCUCCACACAAGAAAGAAGAAAAUGGAGGAGCAUCUCGAUCACAUCACAUGGAAACGGAUGCCUCCAAAGCCGACAUGUCACCUGCAGCCAAGCCUCGAUAUGGUCUCACUGAAAAUUGAGCACAAGACCCUAUAGCUCUCAUCCGAGGGAAACUAGAAGAAGAUCCAGGUGAGGUGGCUUGGGAAUCUGGCCUCCUGAAUGCCUCCCUGGUGAGACGAUGUGUCUCAACUGGCCUGGAAGUGCCUCAGCAGCCACCUGGAGGAGCUGGAAAAAGUAGCCGCAGAGAUGGAAUCUGGACUUCCCUGCUUAGACUGUUGCCCCUGUGAGCCGACCUCAGAUAAGCAGUUGAAGAUGUAUGGAUGGACGGACAGAUGGAUAGAUGGACAUUUCUGGGACUCUUGGUUCCUUCAUUCAUUCA